Molecule: ribosomal RNA, 684 nt
Filed under: uncultured bacterium
Lineage: Bacteria
Description: bacterial SSU rRNA
Rfam family: Bacterial small subunit ribosomal RNA
Source: RNAcentral
AGCGAACGCUGGCGGCAGGCCUAACACAUGCAAGUCGAACGGCAGCACAGAGGAGCUUGCUCCUUGGGUGGCGAGUGGCGGACGGGUGAGGAAUACAUCGGAAUCUGCCUAGUCGUGGGGGAUAACGUAGGGAAACUUACGCUAAUACCGCAUACGACCUACGGGUGAAAGCGGGGGAUCGCAAGACCUCGCGCGAUUAGAUGAGCCGAUGUCCGAUUAGCUAGUUGGCGGGGUAAUGGCCCACCAAGGCGACGAUCGGUAGCUGGCCUGAGAGGAUGAUCAGCCACACUGGAACUGAGACACGGUCCAGACUCCUACGGGAGGCAGCAGUGGGGAAUAUUGGACAAUGGGCGCAAGCCUGAUCCAGCCAUGCCGCGUGGGUGAAGAAGGCCUCGGUUGUAAAGCCCUUCUGUCCGGAAAGAAAAGGCACUGGAUUAAUACUUCGAUGUUCUGACGGUACCGGAAGAAUAAGCACCGGCUAACUUCGUGCCAGCAGCCGCGGUAAUNCGAAGGGUGCAAGCGUUACUCGGAAUUACUGGGCGUAAAGCGUGCGUAGGUGGUUCGUUAAGUCUGAUGUGAAAGCCCCUGGGCUCACCUGGGAAUUGCAUUGGAUACUGGCGGGCUAGAGUGCGGUAGAGGAUGGCGGAAUUCCCGGUGUAGCAGUGAAAUGCGUAGAGAUCGGGA